ACGGAUGUAGCUUAAUAGGUAGAGCAUCGGUCUCCAAAAUCGAAGGUUGUAAGUUCAAAUCUUACCAUCCGUG
RNAcentral lists this transfer RNA (73 nucleotides) under Candidatus Shikimatogenerans bostrichidophilus. RNAcentral describes it as "tRNA-Trp". It matches the Rfam family "tRNA". From Rfam's summary of the family: Transfer RNA (tRNA) molecules are approximately 80 nucleotides in length. Their secondary structure includes four short double-helical elements and three loops (D, anti-codon, and T loops). Lineage: Bacteria; Pseudomonadati; Bacteroidota; Flavobacteriia; Flavobacteriales. The record is from RNAcentral.